RNAcentral lists this ribosomal RNA (479 nucleotides) under uncultured Glomeromycotina. RNAcentral's name for it is "SSU rRNA". It matches the Rfam family "Eukaryotic small subunit ribosomal RNA", at positions 596 to 1077 of the family's 1831-position model. The record is from RNAcentral. Lineage: Eukaryota; Fungi; Glomeromycota.
AGCGUAUAUUAAAGUUGUUGCAGUUAAAAAGCUCGUAGUUGAAUUUCGGGAUCGAAUUGUUGGUCGUGCUUCGGUACGUACUGGCAUUAUUGGUUCCUACCUUCUGAAGAACCGCGAUGUCAUUAAUUUGGUGUCGUGGGGAAUCAGGACUGUUACUUUGAAAAAAUUAGAGUGUUUAAAGCAGGCGCACGCUUGAAUACAUUAGCAUGGAAUAAUGAAAUAGGACGUUUGAUUCUAUUUUGUUGGUUUCUAGGAUCGACGUAAUGAUUAAUAGGGAUAGUUGGGGGCAUUAGUAUUCAAUUGUCAGAGGUGAAAUUCUUGGAUUUAUUGAAGACUAACUACUGCGAAAGCAUUUGCCAAGGAUGUUUUCAUUAAUCAAGAACGAAAGUUAGGGGAUCGAAGACGAUCAGAUACCGUCGUAGUCUUAACCAUAAACUAUGCCGACCAGGGAUCGGAUGAUGUUAAUUUUUUAAUGACUC